Molecule: non-coding RNA, 135 nt
Organism: Triticum aestivum (bread wheat)
Lineage: Eukaryota; Viridiplantae; Streptophyta; Magnoliopsida; Poales; Poaceae
Source: Rfam
UUUCUACUCCCUCCAUCCAAAAAUACUAGGCAUCAAAAUGGAUAAAAAGAGAUGUAUCUAAAACUAAAAUACGUCUAGAUACAUUUCCUUUUAUCCAUUUUGAUGACAAGUAUUUCUGGACGGAGGGAGUAUUUG